CUACGGAGGGGGCUAGCGUUGUUCGGAAUUACUGGGCGUAAAGCGCGCGUAGGCGGAUUGAUCAGUCAGGGGUGAAAUCCCGGAGCUUAACUCCGGAACUGCCUUUGAUACUGUCAAUCUUGAGUUCGAGAGAGGUGAGUGGAAUUCCUAGUGUAGAGGUGAAAUUCGUAGAUAUUAGGAAGAACACCAGUGGCGAAGGCGGCUCACUGGCUCGAUACUGACGCUGAGGUGCGAAAGCGUGGGGAGCAAACAGGAUUAGAAACCCUAGUAGUCC
RNAcentral lists this ribosomal RNA (274 nucleotides) under uncultured bacterium. Its description in RNAcentral is "partial 16S ribosomal RNA". It matches the Rfam family "Bacterial small subunit ribosomal RNA", at positions 523 to 796 of the family's 1533-position model. The record is from RNAcentral.